GUCUUCGUGGCUCAGUUGGCUAGAGCGUUGGUCUCAUAUUCGUAUGAUCCAGUCAUAGACUGGGCUAUCCAAAGGUCGUGAGUUCGAGCCUCACCGAGGACA
RNAcentral lists this transfer RNA (102 nucleotides) under Xylaria acuta. RNAcentral's name for it is "tRNA-Met". It matches the Rfam family "tRNA". Rfam says of the family: Transfer RNA (tRNA) molecules are approximately 80 nucleotides in length. Their secondary structure includes four short double-helical elements and three loops (D, anti-codon, and T loops). Further hydrogen bonds mediate the characteristic L-shaped molecular structure. tRNAs have two regions of fundamental functional importance: the anti-codon, which is responsible for specific mRNA codon recognition, and the 3' end, to which the tRNAs corresponding amino acid is attached (by aminoacyl-tRNA synthetases). tRNAs cope with the degeneracy of the genetic code in two manners: having more than one tRNA (with a specific anti-codon) for a particular amino acid; and 'wobble' base-pairing, i.e. permitting non-standard base-pairing at the 3rd anti-codon position. The record is from RNAcentral. Lineage: Eukaryota; Fungi; Ascomycota; Sordariomycetes; Xylariales; Xylariaceae.